Molecule: long non-coding RNA, 218 nt
Filed under: Brachypodium distachyon (stiff brome)
Lineage: Eukaryota; Viridiplantae; Streptophyta; Magnoliopsida; Poales; Poaceae
Description: long non-coding RNA (BDIS_LNC002617)
Source: RNAcentral
GAUGCUUUUUUUGACAGCUCUUUUCCCGGACUGCUUUUUUUGUUUUGUGUUUUGAAUAAAUCCAUAGUAGUUUUGUUUUGUGUAUUGGGUAGAUGCAUAUCGUUUUAUUUCGUGUUCUAUGCAAAUGCAUAUACUUUUGUUGGAUAUGCAACUCUCAGCCUAUGGUUUAUGGUUACCUGGGUAGUGAAUGUUCCAUUAGGUAUAGCAAGGUAGUAGUA